AAAAAAGUACUAAAAAAACUU
Molecule: ribosomal RNA, 21 nt
Filed under: Urasterias lincki
Lineage: Eukaryota; Metazoa; Echinodermata; Asteroidea; Forcipulatida; Asteriidae
Description: partial 16S ribosomal RNA
Source: RNAcentral